GUGCUCGUUUCGGCAGCGCAUAUACACAAAUCACGGCGAUACAGAGAUUAGCAUGGUCCCUGCGCAAGGGUGACACACAAAUUUGUUAUGUGUUCUAUUAAAAA
Small nuclear RNA from Ailuropoda melanoleuca (giant panda), 104 nucleotides. NCBI's taxonomy places the organism in Eukaryota, Metazoa, Chordata, Mammalia, Carnivora, Ursidae. The record is from Ensembl.